Long non-coding RNA from Chelonus insularis, 4247 nucleotides. RefSeq lists it as uncharacterized. NCBI's taxonomy places the organism in Eukaryota, Metazoa, Arthropoda, Insecta, Hymenoptera, Braconidae. The record is from RefSeq and is a predicted model, not a curated record. The transcript is spliced from 3 exons.
GAUGUUAAUUUUCUACCUUAUUGAAGAAUAAUAUGACUUCUGGAAAUAUUAUGAAAAAUAUAAAAAAUUCAAUAUAGCUUAGAAUUUCGGCAAUAAAGUUUGUUCUGAAUAGUUCUUUGAAACAUAACACAUUAUAAGACAUUUCAUUUUGAUAAACUGAUGACCUCGCUCCUUGCAGUGUGUCAGGUGAAAUAACAAAAAAAUCAUUACUCCCCAUGGUUUUUUAUUGUUUCGAAUGCUAAAAAAAUAUAUAAACAUCGUUUUAAGAAUAAAGAAUAUUAUCUUCUAACACACUAUACAACUAUUCAUUGAAUAUUUAUUAAAAAAAUUAUUAUAACUGAUUAUGAUAUUAAUUUAGGAAAAAAGUUAAGCAAAAUAAAAUAAUAAUGUUGAAGAUCUUACUUUAAAGUGAAUACUUUCAAUAAAAUGUCAAAGUUGAUACAAAGUUUCUAUAUUCCAGUGCUUCUAGUUUCCAUGACGAGUUCUGCCGAAGAACUGACGGUGUAAGUAUUCUUGAAGAACAACAGAGGAAUCUUGAAACCUUGCUGGUUACCACGUUGCCCUGACGAAGACUAGAGGGGACGUUAAAGCGUCUUUACAAUUCAUUGGUUACUGGCUGGCCCUGUCUCAAGCCCUCAAACCAUUCCUUCUUUCUUCUUCAUCUUGUAUAGUUACCACCUUGCCAUGCUAAUGAAAAUUCCACCACGCACGUCAAGUUAUGAUAAUCUUGGGAGGGAUGUUUAGCUGUAAAAGAUAACCUAAGCAGAAUUAUUUGAUAUUGAUGGCUGUUGAUGAAUAUCAAUAUUUAGAAGUGUUACACUAAUUAAUAAUUAGAUAUUAAUAGCUAAAAAACUUUAAUAAUGGUAAUUAAUUAAUGAUAUAACUAGUAUAAGAGUUAAAUAUUAAUCAAUUGUUAAGGUUACUAUCCCAGAAAAUUGAUGUGAAAAAAUUAUUAAAAAGAUUUGCAGACAAAGAUAUGAAGAUAGAUUGCAUGAGCACGCGCAUGAGGACUCGUCCGUGACUUCCGGUGUUGUUGGUGGUGGAUUUCGUGUGGCUACAGUUGACCGGAUAUGGUGAAGAAUUAAAGAAACCUGUGGCAUUAGUCAGGUCAUCAAGUUUCUCAUGCCAAUCACGCAAUGCCUGUACUAAAUACCAUCUUAACGUAUUGGUGAUAUAUACUUAAUGAAAAUAGAUAUUAAAAGACACUCUCAAAUUUUGAUACUGUAAUUGACGAAUCCACAAGUGCAUUUGACGCUGUUACUUUUAUUUCCUGUCAACCAACCAAGUUUCUCAAUCAUUAUUACUUAUCAUAACUUACUUUUUUCCAAAUAAUCACUUAGGAAUGCUUUCAAUAAUUUUAAGUUAACAAUUUUUUACUCCAAAUUAAAUGAAUUAAAUUUUUGAAUACAUCAAAGGCUCAAAAUACUUGAAAAAGAUAUUCAAAUUCUUCAAUUGUCAAUUCUCGUCACGUUGUCGUCAGGAAUGCGUCGAAGAGAUCAUUGAUCACUUCAUUUGAUUAAAAACAAUCUUCUUUUAUUGACUCCAAGGUAUAAAGAAUCAAAUAAUGACUUAAUUAGUAAGCAAGUCGAAGCAAUCAUGUGUCCAUUUAUCAGAGAAAGUACUUUUAUAUUAAUGGUAACUUCUAACAAUGCUUUCGCGUUUAUUCUCUUGGUCUCUUUUAUUGUUCUGAAUAGUCUUAGACUAUUUGCCGGCGUCAGGUAGUGAGGACCCAUAGGGAAUAAUUAAUCAGUACGCCGAACACGUAGGGUGCGCACAUAAGUCCAUAAAAAGUUUGUGAAUACGAAAAGGAACGUUGAUGUAUGUGCUUCAUCCGGUCCAUCAAACUUAGUUCACUAUAAAAUUUUAAAUUUUUUAUUUUAAAUAAAAUUAUUUUUCAACUUAAAAAUAAAAAGGAAAAUAUUAUUAAAAAUUAUUCUAUAGUUUUCCAUAACUUUUUGAAUGAUUCAUUUCAUUGUAAAGUUGCUUUUGUAAUGAGGACAAAGCUUUUCUUACUUCUUCAGGCGCGGCUAAUCGUUGAGGAAAAAAAAAAGUGAAAAAGAAAAAAUAAACACGAAAAAAGAGAACAUAAAUAUACAUAUAUGAGUAAGAAAACUGAUAAAGAAAAGCUACAAAGUCACGUUAAGGUGUCAUGAACGAAGACAAAAUAUAUUCAUAGAUAUAUUGUUAUGCUUUCGAUACAUAUGUCUAUAUAUAAUAUUCAUGAAGUCAGUUUCAAAUAAAAUAUAUUUAUGUAGAGAUAUCAGCAGGUGAAAACAUUUAUCUUUUGAGAUCAUUCCAGAAAAAGUUUAUCAUUAAUACGUGUUAAAUUUGAAAAAAAUGAAUGAUCUGUCUUUAAUUUCCUUAACACGUACUCUAAAAACUAUGUUUAUAUUAAUUCAUAGCUCAAGUAAGUGAUUGUAUGAUACAUAACAUAUGAUAAAACACGAAAUAAGAUAACAGCUUGAGUAUAAAAUUAGAGAUAACAAUAAUGACCAUUUUUUUCUUAGGAUGAAUAGAAACAUCGUAAAUAUCAAUUGGUUUUUUUUUUUUUUUUUAAUAAUUAACAAUCAUAACAAAAGAUACUUUUAAAUCCAUUGAGAGAUAAUAAUUGCAUGAAUUUGCUAUUCAAAAGGUAAAUUCAAUUAAAAAAAAAAGAGAUGAACUGGAAUAGAGAAAAUUGAUUAUGACACCUUCGUGUAAUAUUUAGAAUAUUUGAAAAAAUUUUAAAUAAAAGUAGGCCGUGUAAAUGAAACAGAUCCGUCAUUAUUGCCUAGAAGACUUGGAAACGUGCUAAUUGACAAACAAACAGGUACAGUAUUUCUGUGUGAACUCAUUGCAGGAACAUUGAAAGAAAAAGCCACUGUGAAGGUUGAGGAUGAAAAAAUAAUUAUACACUUACUUGAAAAAAAAAAAAAAUAAUAACAAUAAAUAUCUGAAGCAGUAAUUUGGUUAUAAUUAAGAAAAAUUUGAUAUAAAUUAAAUUCUACAACCACAAAUUUCAAUCAAUUAAAUGAUGAUACUAUCAGAUAAUAUGAUAUUGCGAAUCAGAUGAUCGGUAGUUGAUUAGAAGAAGCUAGUUAAUAUUGAUUAGCAGGAAGAGAACUUGUUUUAAAUCUAACUAGAAAAGAAUUCGUGAUGGUAAUUUUGCUGUUGCAUUCACUCACACGUCCUCGCUAAUUCUACAAUAAUUUUACGGGAAUAAUUAAGUCGAGUUCAAACCCACGUGGUAACUAGUUACAUCUAAAGAAUAAUUUGAAUACGUUCAUACUCUUCAUUUAAAUAUUUUUUUUAUAAAUAGCUAUUUUUAUUUUAAAUAAUAUUUAUUUAUUCUAAUAAAAAUAAUUAUUAAUAAUGAUAAAAAAAAAAUACCUUUUUCAUUGUCAAAGUAGAUAUUAGUUUCAGAUCACGAGAUAAACACUGUCAAUUUUACAGUUUUAAAAACGAUUCAUGAGUGAAAAAAUGAACGUGUCGUACUUGAGCACCGUCAGCGAACGACUCUCGUUGAAUUUGUUCGAAGAGUUGAGGCGAGAAAGAGACAAAGAGUUGAAUAUAUGACAAAGAGACUCGAAUCGCAACGACCAGGAAAUCGGUCUCGCCUUACCGGACACCAGUACGUCAAUAUUGACGCAUUUCUUAUGAGACACGAAACCUUUUGAGAUGUCCAACUAAACCAUUAACUUCUUUUGGGAAAAAACUUGGCCUUAAAAAAAUAAUAAAAAUCGACAGCAAAAUAUUCUUUCGAUGACGGACAAAUUGAAAUAAAUUGAGAACAAAAAAUAUUUCAAACUGAUAAUAUUUUUAGUUAACCGUCAUGGUAUAGAUAAAAAAGCUGCAAAUAUGCAAUGGCAAUACGCAACCGGAUUCCUGUGGAAAAAGCCGGAAAUUAGCCGAACAUUUAGCUUCCGUUGAAUGCAUGAUAUGAUAAAAGAAUCAAUCUGGGAACGUCUCAAAUGGCCUACUUUAUCAAUUAGAUGUCAAACAUAAAAAAGUUUAACAAUUAUUAGUAUCAAUUGACACAUUUCAACGAUUCAUUUGAAUUAAUUUAGCAACAAUUAACAAUGAUGUGUAAUGAAGAAAACAUGAUUGAAAAUAGAACAAUAACAAUUCAAAAAUAUCUUCUUCAUGAUCAAUAACUUAUUUGUUCCUAUUUAUAGUAUUUGUAACGCAAUUAUUGUUUACUAACUAUAAUAAAUAUUAAACACUUUUAUUUUUUACAAAAAUUUUUAUUGUUAGUAGUUUCAUUAAAA